AUGAACGCUAGCUACAGGCUUAACACAUGCAAGUCGAGGGGCAGCAUGGACAUAGCUUGCUAUGUUUGAUGGCGACCGGCGCACGGGUGCGUAACACGUAUCCAAUCUGCCCGUUACUCGGGGAUAGCCUUCUGAAAGGAAGAUUAAUACCCGAUGGCAUGUAUUUCCGGCAUCGGAGAUACAUUAAAGAUUUAUCGGUAACGGAUGGGGAUGCGUGACAUUAGGUAGAUGGCGGGGUAACGGCCCACCAUGCCUACGAUGUCUAGGGGUUCUGAGAGGAAGGUCCCCCACACUGGAACUGAGACACGGUCCAGACUCCUACGGGAGGCAGCAGUGAGGAAUAUUGGUCAAUGGGCGAGAGCCUGAACCAGCCAAGUAGCGUGAAGGAAGACUGCCCUAAUGGGUUGUAAACUUCUUUUGUUCGGGAAUAAAGUGCAGUAUGUAUACUGUUUUGUAUGUACCGUUCGAAUAAGCAUCGGCUAAUUCCGUG
RNAcentral lists this ribosomal RNA (490 nucleotides) under uncultured bacterium. RNAcentral describes it as "bacterial SSU rRNA". It matches the Rfam family "Bacterial small subunit ribosomal RNA", at positions 29 to 507 of the family's 1533-position model. The record is from RNAcentral.